UACGGGGGGGGCAAGCGUUGUUCGGAAUUACUGGGCGUAAAGGGCUCGUAGGCGGCCAACUAAGUCGGACGUGAAAUCCCCAGGCUCAACCUGGGAACUGCGUCCGAUACUGGAUGGCUUGAAUCCGGGAGAGGGAUGCAGAAUUCCAGGUGUAGCGGUGAAAUGCGUAGAUAUCGGAAGGAACAUCAGUGGCGAAAGCGGCUUCCUGGACCAGCACCGACGUUCAGGCACGAAAGCGUGGGGAGCAAACAGG
RNAcentral lists this ribosomal RNA (253 nucleotides) under uncultured bacterium. RNAcentral's name for it is "partial 16S ribosomal RNA". It matches the Rfam family "Bacterial small subunit ribosomal RNA", at positions 524 to 776 of the family's 1533-position model. The record is from RNAcentral.